RNAcentral lists this ribosomal RNA (253 nucleotides) under uncultured bacterium. RNAcentral's name for it is "partial 16S ribosomal RNA". It matches the Rfam family "Bacterial small subunit ribosomal RNA", at positions 524 to 776 of the family's 1533-position model. The record is from RNAcentral.
UACGGAGGGGGCUAGCGUUGUUCGGAAUUACUGGGCGUAAAGCGCGCGUAGGCGGACCUGCAAGUCGGGGGUGAAAGCCCGAGGCUCAACCUCGGAACUGCCUUUGAUACUGCAAGUCUCGAGUCCGAUAGAGGUGAGUGGAAUUCCUAGUGUAGAGGUGAAAUUCGUAGAUAUUAGGAAGAACACCAGUGGCGAAGGCGGCUCACUGGAUCGGUACUGACGCUGAGGUGCGAAAGCGUGGGGAGCAAACAGG